Non-coding RNA from Myotis lucifugus (little brown bat), 71 nucleotides. The record is from Rfam. Lineage: Eukaryota; Metazoa; Chordata; Mammalia; Chiroptera; Vespertilionidae.
GCCUACAUGGCUCAGUGGUUGAGCUUUGACCUAGGAACCAGGAGGUCCUGGUUCAAUUCCUGGUCAGGGCA